CCGUGGCCCUAUCGAAGCUGCCUCUGCCUCCUCUGUGGCUGACGUGGUCAAAAAGGUGCCAAAAGUAACUUUUUUUCCCUUGACGGUCGCUGUUCAGCUUGUCCUGUUAUAACUGUCCAGCAACACUUUUAGGGAAAUACAUGA
Small nucleolar RNA from Elgaria multicarinata webbii, 144 nucleotides. The record is from RefSeq and is a predicted model, not a curated record. NCBI's taxonomy places the organism in Eukaryota, Metazoa, Chordata, Lepidosauria, Squamata, Anguidae.